CGGGGAACCAGGACUUUUACUGUGAAAAAAUUAGAGUGUUCAAAGCAGGCCUUCGCCCGAAUACAUUAGCAUGGAAUAAUAGAAUAGGACGCGCGUUCCCAUUUUGUUGGUUUCUGAGACCGCCGUAAUGAUUAAUAGGGAUAGUCGGGGGCAUCAGUAUUCAAUCGUCAGAGGUGAAAUUCUUGGAUUGAUUGAAGACUAACUACUGCGAAAGCAU
Molecule: ribosomal RNA, 217 nt
Filed under: Thalassiosira rotula
Lineage: Eukaryota; Bacillariophyta; Thalassiosirophyceae; Thalassiosirales; Thalassiosiraceae
Description: partial Eukaryotic small subunit ribosomal RNA
Rfam family: Eukaryotic small subunit ribosomal RNA
Source: RNAcentral